RNAcentral lists this ribosomal RNA (406 nucleotides) under uncultured bacterium. RNAcentral describes it as "bacterial SSU rRNA". It matches the Rfam family "Bacterial small subunit ribosomal RNA", at positions 29 to 421 of the family's 1533-position model. The record is from RNAcentral.
AACGAACGCUGGCGGCGUGGAUAAGACAUGCAAGUCGAACGGAAUUACUUUUGUAGCAAUACAGAAGUAAUUCAGUGGCGAACGGGUGCGUAACACGUGGGCAAUCUGCCGAAAAGUGGGGGAUAGCUCGCCGAAAGGCGAAUUAAUACCGCAUGUGGUGAGGGACGACAUCUUCCUGAAUCCAAAGCCGGGGCAACCUGGCGCUUUUUGAGGAGCCCGCGGCCUAUCAGCUGUUGGCGGGGUAACGGCCCACCAAGGCUAUGACGGGUAGCUGGUCUGAGAGGACGACCAGUCACACUGGAACUGAGACACGGUCCAGACACCUACGGGUGGCAGCAGUCGAGAAUUUUUCUCAAUGGGGGCAACCCUGAAGGAGCGACGCCGCGUGGAGGAUGAAGGCUUUCGG